This 264-nucleotide long non-coding RNA is filed under the name Ananas comosus (pineapple). RNAcentral describes it as "long non-coding RNA (ACOM_LNC019453)". Lineage: Eukaryota; Viridiplantae; Streptophyta; Magnoliopsida; Poales; Bromeliaceae. The record is from RNAcentral.
AUUUAGUGAUUUUUGACUUACUAUAUAUUUCACAUUUAUCAAAAUCACUAUUCAGUAUGAAAAUUAUUCUAAACUACUCAUCAAGCUAACAUAUCUAUUGUUAAUAUGACACAAACGAGCAUGUCAAAAAUUCACAAAAGAAAAUAUGUAAGCAGAAGUAGAUGAUGCUUUAUUCUCAAUAUUUAGUUUAAACAUUCCAUCGCAUACAUAACCUUUAUCUACAAACUUUCCAUUCUUGAAAAUCACAUACUAAUCAUACUCGAU